UACGUAGGGGGCAAGCGUUGUCCGGAUUUAUUGGGCGUAAAGAGCGUGUAGGCGGCUAGAUAGGUCCGUUGUGAAAACUCGAGGCUCAACCUCGAGACGUCGAUGGAAACCAUCUGGCUAGAGUCCGGAAGAGGAGAGUGGAAUUCCUGGUGUAGCGGUGAAAUGCGUAGAUAUCGUAAGGAAGACCAGUGGCGAAGGCGGGUCUCUGGACAGUUCCUGACGCUGAGGCACGAAGGUCAGGGGAGCAAACGGG
RNAcentral lists this ribosomal RNA (253 nucleotides) under uncultured bacterium. RNAcentral's name for it is "partial 16S ribosomal RNA". It matches the Rfam family "Bacterial small subunit ribosomal RNA", at positions 524 to 776 of the family's 1533-position model. The record is from RNAcentral.